AAGUCGUAACAAGGUAACCGUAGGUGAACCUGCGGUUGGAUCAUUAACAAAAUGAUAAAAGCCCGGAACUUAAAACCUUCCGGCUUUUAUAAACACCAUGUGAACUGUAAUUGUAUCUGGUGGGUUAAAAGAGGGGAGAUUUAUUUACGAAUAUCCCUUUGGUCUUUUUUUAAUAAAAGGACAACCCACCGUUAAAAUUUAUCAACUUGUAAUCUUGAACUUGAUUGUUUAUUGAAAUUUAAUUUUUAAAUUAAACAACUUUUGACAACGGAUCUCUAGGCUCUC
Molecule: unclassified non-coding RNA, 285 nt
Filed under: fungal sp.
Lineage: Eukaryota; Fungi
Description: partial internal transcribed spacer region
Rfam family: Eukaryotic small subunit ribosomal RNA (bases 1-46)
Source: RNAcentral